AAGGUGAAAAGAACCCCGACGAGGGGAGUGAAAUAGAUCCUGAAAUUGAAUGCUUACAAGCUGUCGAAGCCCGCAAGGGUGACGGCGUACCUUUUGUAUAAUGGGUCAGCGAGUUAGUUUAAAGUGCAAGCUUAAGCCGUAAGGUGUAGGCGAAGCGAAAGCGAGUCUGAAUAGGGCGAUAGUACUUUGGAUUAAACCCGAAACCGAGUGAUCUAGCCAUGAGCAGGUUGAAGAUAAGGUAACACUUAUUGGAGGACCGAACCAGUUGACGUUGAAAAGUCUUUGGAUGACUUGUGGUUAGGGGUGAAAGGCCAAUCAAACUCGGAUAUAGCUGGUUCUCCGCGAAAACUAUUUAGGUAGUGCGUCAUACGAAUUCCAUCGGGGGUAAAGCACUGGAUGGGCAAGGGGGGAGAGAUCCUUACUAAGUCCAACCAAACUCUGAAUACCGAUGAGAAAUAUAUGGCAGACAGACUAUGGGUGCUAAGGUCCAUAGUCGAAAGGAAAACAGUCCAGACCAACAGCUAAGGUCCCCAAGUUAUUGUUAAGUGGGAAAGGAUGUCGGACGACCAAAACAGCCAGGAGGUUGGCUUAGAAGCAGCCAUCCUUUAAAGAAAGCGUAACAGCUCACUGGUCUAAUUAAGUUGUCCGGCGCCGAAGAUGUAACGGGGCUAAACAAUACACCGAAGCUUUGGACACAAUUUAUUGUGUGGUAGCGGAGCGUUCCGUACGUUGUUGAAGGGAGACUCGUGAGAGCUCCUGGAGAUAUCGGAAGUGAGAAUGCUGACAUGAGUAGCGACAAAAAGAGUGAGAAACUCUUUCGCCGAAAAUCCAAGGGUUCCUGCGCAAGGCUAAUCCGCGCAGGUUGAGUCGGCUCCUAAGACGAGGACGAAAGUCGUAGUCGAUGGGAAACAGGUUAAUAUUCCUGUACCGGAUGAGAUGUGACGGAUGACGUAAAUUGUAUUUCCUUAUAAGGAUUGGAAAUGCAGUGAAGUUGUUCCAGGAAAUAGCCUCAUCAUUGAGACCGUACCCGAAACCGACACAGGUGGAUAGGUAGAAGAUACCAAGGCGCUUGAGAGAACUAUGCUGAAGGAACUCGGCAAAAUACCUCUGUAACUUCGGGAGAAGGAGGACCUAUGUUUGGGCAACCAGAUGUGGGUGGCACAGAAAUGGGGGUAGCAACUGUUUAUUAAAAACACAGGACUCUGCAAAGCCGCAAGGCGAAGUAUAGGGUCUGACGCCUGCCCGGUGCCGGAAGAUUAAAGUGAGUGGUGCAAGCUACAAACUGAAGUCCCGGUGAACGGCGGCCGUAACUAUAACGGUCCUAAGGUAGCGAAAUUCCUUGUCGGGUAAGUUCCGACCUGCACGAAUGGCGUAAUGAUUUCCCCGCUGUCUCCAGCAUAGACUCAGCGAAAUUGAAUUCUCCGUGAAGAUGCGGAGUACCCGCGGUUAGACGGAAAGACCCCGUGCACCUUUACUAUAGCUUUACAUUGGUGUUAGAAAUUGCAUGUGUAGGAUAGGUGGUAGACUUUGAAGUAAGGGCGCCAGCUCUUAUGGAGUCGUCCUUGAAAUACCACUCUUGUAAUUUUUGAUAUCUAACUGAGGUCCAUUAUCUGGAUCCAAGACAGUGUAUGGUGGGUAGUUUGACUGGGGCGGUCGCCUCCCAAAAAGUAACGGAGGCGUGCGAAGGUAGGCUCAAGCUGGUCGGAAAUCAGCUGUUGAGUGCAAUGGCAUAAGCCUGCCUGACUGCAAGACUGACAAGUCGAGCAGAGUCGAAAGACGGUCAUAGUGAUCCGGUGGUUCUGAGUGGAAGGGCCAUCGCUCAACGGAUAAAAGGUACGCCGGGGAUAACAGGCUGAUACCGCCCAAGAGUUCAUAUCGACGGCGGUGUUUGGCACCUCGAUGUCGGCUCAUCACAUCCUGGGGCUGGAGCAGGUCCCAAGGGUUCGGCUGUUCGCCGAUUAAAGUGGUACGCGAGCUGGGUUUAGAACGUCGUGAGACAGUUCGGUCCCUAUCUGCCGUGGGUGUUGAAGAAUUGAGAGGAGUUACUCCUAGUACGAGAGGACCGGAGUGAACGUACCUAUG
Molecule: ribosomal RNA, 2082 nt
Filed under: marine metagenome
Description: bacterial LSU rRNA
Rfam family: Bacterial large subunit ribosomal RNA
Source: RNAcentral